Triticum aestivum (bread wheat) is the source of this 2991-nucleotide long non-coding RNA. RefSeq lists it as uncharacterized. The record is from RefSeq and is a predicted model, not a curated record. The transcript has 8 exons. Lineage: Eukaryota; Viridiplantae; Streptophyta; Magnoliopsida; Poales; Poaceae.
AGGGUGCACGGUGAAAACCUAGCCACCAAUCCCUCGCAUCCCUGAACAACCAAUCCGUCCGCUCCCCUCUUCCCCUGCCCUCCUCUGCGACGCCGCCUCCUCCCCUUCCCUCCUCUGCGUCGCCUCCUCCUCCCCUUCUCCCCUGCUCUCCACUGCACCGCCUCCUCCUCCCCUUCACUUUUCUCUCCCGGGGCGGCAACAACCUACAGGCAAAAGGCGACGGCGAUGUCGCUCAAUUUGAUCUGCAGGAGAGAGAGAAGGAAGGAGAGGAGGGAGAAAGGAAGAGGAAAGAGAAAAGGGAGGUGCGGCGACGGAUGGGUGAGGGUCACCGGAAGGAGCGCCGCCGGCUCGUCGCCUUUCACACCGAGGUGGAGCAAAUAUGUCUCUGUACAGCCCUCAUGCUCGCAGCUGUCGGCUGCAGGGGCCUUGCGAGAAGUGGAAGGUAGAGGUCGUACGCCAGCCGGAGCAACAGGAGCAAGGAUCUGGCGUCAUCUGCCUCCCGGUUGCACAACACCACUGCAUCUCCUUCCUGUUGUUGUUGGCGGCAUCCGCCUCUCAGUUGCAUGCUGCCACUGCAUCUCCUUCCUGUUUUAUUUUUAGAUUUUACAUGUUCAGCUAUAGGUUGGCUUGAUCUCUUGUGUCAGGGAGGUGCGAGGUUAGGCAUUUAGGCAAUGGCAGCCACAGUUUCAGUGAAGGAUGUCCAUGCCAUGUGCAAUGAGGGAUAGGCCAUCAGCACAACCGUAUGCGUGUUUUAGUUUUCCUUAUUUUCCUAAUUUUAGUUCUCUACGGUCUUCUAUUUUUAUUUUUAUUGUUCUUAUUUUGUAUAGGUCCUUUGGGUCCUGAUGAAAGUCACUGUCGGUGGCAGGGAAUUCGUUGCCGGAUGCGUCCUAUAUGUGAUGGGUGUGUUCCCAUCCAGUCGUUGGUGGGCUUGAUGUGCCCGUCGAUUCGACGAUCCGCGGGCCGAGCUCAGCUUCUCAGUGGCGGACUGAUGUUCUAUGGUAGUGGCAGUCAUUGUAUGUGGUGGUGCGGUUGCUGAUGUACAGGAGGCGUCCAUGGUGUCAGUUCUCCAUCGUCCAUGCUUAUCUUCUGUAUGCUCUAGCAGCCAGGUGGCUCAAGAAAUAGAAGACGCUCAUGUUCAUGUACGCUUAGAUUUUGCAUGGAGCUGAAGAAAUGAUCUGAACUUUAUGUUCUGCUGCUGACAAAUGACGAAUGCCGAAUAUAUGUAUCCAGUUGGUCCCUCAUCGCCGGGAGGACGGGCGAGGAGGUCGAGGCCCACUGGGGUUCACGAGGAGGCGCACGGGCGGCAAUCACUACAACCAUCAUGUGCUACUGCAGGCUUUCCUAGCCUCGUCACAUGAUCAACACGGCGAGCAUCGGCAAAGGGCAGUGCCAAACCAAGUACGCGAGGAGCGCCCGGGCCGUCCUUCACCCUCCAACAAUGGCGACAACGACUGUGCGUCAUGGGACGAACAUGGAGCUCACCCUCUCUACGCCGUGCAUCACAUCUACUUAAUUUGGAGGGUUACACCGGGUGUUUAUAUACUUCGGUCGAUGGUUUCCGUGCCUUGAGGAACAAUCCUAUUAUUGUACUAUGCGUACUGACUAUAUAUGUAUGACGCAUAAAUCCUCACAAGUUGGAACCCAUCACUGCUCAUGCUCGACCGUGACUCCACGCGCAAGGUCCGCCUAGCCACGCGUAGGUCACGCCGCCGGCUGUCGAGCCUCCUGUUCCACCCUGCAGUGUGUUCGAACAGCCGAAGCUGAGUAUGCGAAGAUUCAUCCCUGGCCCAUCCUUGUUCAACGCAUGGAAGCAAUGACUGCUGCUGGCUUUGAAGCUGGUUGAGGUUGCUGCUUGCCGUUGGUUGGAGCCUUGUAGGUAGAGGCCUUGCGGUGGUCCAAGAUUCUUACAUAGUGUUGUGCCUGGUUUCUUCUUGAAGGAUUUGCUGCGAAAGCUGGGAAUGUUAAGAGGAAUCUGCUUUGAGAGGUGUCGUAGUCUGAGAGGAAACGAUUUCUUCUAGGCCAGUGGUGUUCCUUUGCGCUAUAGCCAGUGCGCUAUCUCCUAGAACCUAUCAUGGAGGAGGUUGACAUCACAGACAAGUUCAUGCUUGAGGUCAUUUUCAUUAAGCUGCAGCUCGCGCAACCACUAUUUUUACUACUGCAAAGUUGGACAGAGUUUUGCAGUAACAAUCAAGUUCCGUCCCAGCACGCGGCAUCAGCAACAUGAUGCUGAAGCAAUGGCAUUAUCCGGAUAUUCAUCUAAUUCCAUAGAAGUUGCAACGGAUGUUGCAGCGGCUCGAGUUAUCAGAUACAUGGAGGCUGUGUGUGCCAAGGUGCUCAAGGACUAUAGUUACAACAAAUUGAAACAAACAAAGGAAAGAGAAUUGCAUCUAAUUGGUUUGUUAAUAGACAAAGAAAAGUAGAUCAAAGAGCAGAAUUGGAAGAUCAGAGAGCUUAGCAAAGGCUUUGCAGACAAUAUGUAUCAAGUUAAAACACUUUUGCUGGGAUUCAUCACAUAGCUAAAGACGGUGUAUACUCAACCAGUUCUACAAACGGCAAUGGCACCACAAGGCUGCUGUAGAUGUGCAGAAUGAACUUGCUCAUCUGCAGUAUGCAGUUGAUUGACUAAUGACUAUCCAGCUGAUUCGAAACACAUUGGUUUAUCCCUUUUAAAUAGAGUCUACUUCCAUAGCCUAUGUACCUUUGGAAGAUGCUUACCGGCUAUAACAACUUUAUUUAAAUGACCAGCGAUACCGCCUGCAUCUUACCGUGCUAACUAAUUAGCCUGUGAAGUUUUGUGUAUAGGUUCACCCAAAGAACAUGUUUACUUUUGGCAGUACUCUCUGGUCAUCAUGUUUACUCUACUAAGCUACCUAAAUAGCCUAUGAAGCUUUGUGUGUAUAGCUUCACCCUAAGAACCCGUUUGCUUUUGGCACUACUCUCUGGUCAUAUAUAAAUUUUGAAUGCAUGAUACUAUGUUGUAUCCAUGUGAUA